Long non-coding RNA from Canis lupus familiaris (dog), 2773 nucleotides. RefSeq lists it as uncharacterized. The transcript has 2 exons. The record is from RefSeq and is a predicted model, not a curated record. NCBI's taxonomy places the organism in Eukaryota, Metazoa, Chordata, Mammalia, Carnivora, Canidae.
CAAGAUCCUUCGCGCGCUCUGCCCCCCCCCCCCAACCCCUGCAGCGAACCCUCAAGUCCUGGGAAGGUGGCCUGCGCGGUGCGCUCCGGCGGGGCAGCUCGCGGCUCGCCGGCCCCUGGGCCGCCUCCCAUAACCCGGUUAGGGCGCUGGGGCCGCUCCAGUUCUCGCCGUCGAGGAGGGAGCCCUCCCUUCAACAGCCGGUGAGGAUCCCGCGAGACCCACGGACUCGCCCUGCGUGGACACCGACACCAGCAAAAACUCGGCGGAUGAUUUUGGAAGUGUCAGGAAGCAUCACCUUAACACACGUGUGUGUGUUGUUGUUUGUAGAUUUUACUUAUUUAUUCGAGAGAGAGGCAGAGACACAGGCAGAGGGAGAAGGCAGGCGCCCUGCGGGGAGCCGGACGCGGGACUCGAUCCCAGGACCAGGGAUCACGCCCUGAGCCCAAGGCAGAGACGCUCAAGCGCUGAGCCACCCAGGCGCCCCUAAUGGCUGCUUAUUAAGCUCCUUUCCAGAAUGACGUUCUAGAAUUAGAAAUUAGAAAGACCCUCGCUCCCUACCAGCUGGCGGAGAGACAGAGACACAAAUACCACAGUGUGAGAAGCGCCCCAGCAGCCGUCCAAGGGGCGCACCUUCGGCGCCAGCGCCUCAGCCGCUCAGCCUCCGCCUCCAGAGCUCCGGCUUCCCUCCCGACGUCACCCCUCCGCGUCCCAGCACCGCUCGCGCCGGAGUCGACCACGUGACGCAGGCUGGGCCAAUCAGAGCUGCUGAUUCCCGUGGCCAUAGUGAUUGGCUCAAGAAUUGGCAGGUGACCAAGCCGGACCAAUGAGACUCGAUUCUGGGGCUUUUGUGGGGCUGCUGAGAGCGUGAAGUCGUGCGUUGAGCCUGAAGUAAGAAGGGUCAGGUGAGGGGCUCCGAGGGGCUCCUGGAAACUGCUGAGAGAGAGGCUGCCCGAAGGAAGGCAGAGCCUAUCCAGAGCCGGAAGCAGGGUCCCAGAGGCACGGUUUAACCCUUUGUCCCAGCUAUGUCUGAAGCCAGCUCUACCCCCCGGAAUUUCCCACCACAAAAAACCAUUAAGUCCUGCCCUCCGUUUUUUUCCUAAGCCACCUGCUACCAAGUCAUGCCCUGUGUCGGGUCCGUGCAAGACAAAAGGAGGCGCAGGGCAAGAGGUCAGCCACUGCAGGAGAGGGUCUGGAAGGCUCCUGAAGAAGGAGACCUAUGAUUUAGGUUCUGAGGGAUAAGUUGACGUUUGUUCUUUGACGAUCAAGGUGGGACAGGGCAUUUGAGACAGAGGAAGUGACUUGGCAGUGGCAGGACAGUGAGACAUGGGAGCCCUUUGGAGUGGCUGGAGUGUGGGUCAGAAGAAAAUGAGGCUGGGAAAUAACGAGGGAUCAGAUCAUCGCGUGUCGAGCGCCAGGCUAUGACCGGGUGCUUUUCCACUGUGGGUGCUGGGGAGAGGAGCAGAUGCUGUGUGUGGUAGGCAGAAGAGAGAUAGAGCAGGCCUCCCUAGAGCUGUGGGGAUUUAAUGCACGUCUCUUACUGAAAGUGCCCCCCUCCCAAGCAGAUAUCUUAAGGAUUUAAUAUGCUAAGAUUUUAGCUGGGAACACGCUCUGAGGACAGGGGCACAGCUGAGACCCGAAAUCAUAUAGCCCAGCUUGGCAGCCGAGAUUAAUGAAAUCCGUGUUUAGCAUUCACGUGGAGGAGAGGCAGGCAUGAUGGGAAGAAGGGAAUGGGAGAUGUGGGUGGCAGCUUCGGUGUGCGCUCCCUGCCCUGAGCAGUUCCACUCUGGUCCUGGUAAGAUAGAGUCCUGAAGUUACUGGGCCACCCUCCUUAGCCUCCAAUGGGGCAAGCUUCUCAGGAACCUCACCGCUAUCUCAACGACUUCUCAAACCCAUAGAGUCCUCCCGGUGACAUUUUAACAGUGCUUAGACAUGUGUGCCUUAGACACCUCUUACUGUCAACAGGGGACCCCGUAAGAAGCAGGACUCAUGAACUGGAUCAAAAGGUGUGAGUGGAUUGCCUAAGGCCACACAGCCUGGAGUUGACCUCAUCUCCGUGUGGUUGAUCACAUGGUCCAAGACCAGCAGCAGCAGCAUCUGUGAGCUUAUUAGAAAUCCCUGGCUCUGCCUCUGACCCACUGAGUCAGAAUUUGCAUUUUAACAAAUCCCUUGCUGAUCUGUAGGAGACACUGCUGGUGCUCCACCCAGAUCCCCAUCACCAAAGUGGCGCACCGCCUCCCGGCUUCUGGAAGUGUUGGCUGCUGACAGCUCCCAGCUGCACCUUUCCACUGAGCGUGGCUUUCAGCCAACAGGAGCCUCCCUGGGGAAUUUCUGAGACCUUACACUCUUCCGGUGGGAUGGAGGAACAACCCCUCCAGUGUUGCUCAUGCCCCAGAGCAACUUGUAGACUUUUCCUGAAACCACAUCCUUGGGUCAAUUUCUUUCCUGCCUCAUCUCGCUACCCUCCCCCCACCCUCUAGUUACAAUUGAGCUCUCCCGCAAGAGUGAGGCUAAGGCUUUGCCUUGAGGAAACCUAACCUAAGGCAAUGCAUGUAUGCGCUUCAUGAGAUGGAAGCCUCUUCCAGGCCUGGACUCCAAAGCCCUCUCAAACAUUCCUGCCUUCUGUUUACCUUUUCACCAGCUUGACACAAACAACCAAGUGGAGAUAAUGGGGUCACAACAUGGAAGAAGCUCUAUCUCCAAAUCACUGCCUGGAGGAGAUGGUUUUGAAUUUUACAUGAGUGAGAAAUAAACCUAGAUCAUAUUUGAGCCAUGA